UAAAUAUGAAAGUCCAUCUGAACU
RNAcentral lists this non-coding RNA (24 nucleotides) under Cricetulus griseus (Chinese hamster). Lineage: Eukaryota; Metazoa; Chordata; Mammalia; Rodentia; Cricetidae. The record is from RNAcentral.